Molecule: unclassified non-coding RNA, 342 nt
Filed under: soil metagenome
Description: partial contains 5.8S ribosomal RNA, internal transcribed spacer 2, and large subunit ribosomal RNA
Rfam family: 5.8S ribosomal RNA (bases 1-120)
Source: RNAcentral
GAUGAAGAACGCAGCGAAAUGCGAUAAGUAAUGUGAAUUGCAGAAUUCAGUGAAUCAUCGAAUCUUUGAACGCACAUUGCGCCCGCCAGCACUCUGGCGGGCAUGCCUGUUCGAGCGUCAUUUCAACCAUCAAGCCCCCAGGGGCUUGUGCUGGGGCCCUGCGGCUGCCCGCAGGCCCUGAAAACCAGUGGCGGGCUCGCUAGUCACACCGAGCGCAGUAGCACAUCUCGCUCAGGGCGUGCGGCGGGCUCCUGCCGUGAAACCCCCCACUGUAACCCCAAAGGUUGACCUCGAAUCAGGUAGGAAUACCCGCUGAACUUAAGCAUAUCAAUAAGCGGAGGA